CAUAACCCCCGGAAACUGGGUAUAAUACCCGAUAGGUCUCGAUUGCUGGAAUGCAUCGAGAUUUAAAGCUCCGGCGCCUAAGGAUGGGUCUGCGGCCUAUCAGGUAGUAGUGGGUGUAGCGUACCUACUAGCCUACGACGGGUACGGGUUGUGAGAGCAAGAGCCCGGAGAUGGAUUCUGAGACACGAAUCCAGGCCCUACGGGGUGCAGCAGGCGCGAAAACUUUACAAUGCUGGCAACAGCGAUAAGGGAACCUCGAGUGCCAGGUUACAAAUCUGGCUGUCGAGAUGCCUAAAAAGCAUUUCAUAGCAAGGGCCGGGCAAGACCGGUGCCAGCCGCCGCGGUAACACCGGCGGCUCGAGUGGUAACCGUUAUUAUUGGGUCUAAAGGGUCUGUAGCCGGCCGGAUAAGUCUCUUGAGAAAUCUGGCAGCUUAACUGUCAGGCUUUCAGGAGAUACUGUCUGGCUCGAGGCCGGGAGAGGUGAGAGGUACUUCAGGGGUAGGGGUGAAAUCUUGUAAUCCUUGAAGGACCACCAGUGGCGAAGGCGUCUCACCAGAACGGACCUGACGGCAAGGGACGAAAGCUAGGGGCACGAACCGGAUUAGAUACCCGGGUAGUCCUAGCCGUAAACGAUACUCGCUAGGUGUCGGCCACGGUGCGACCGUUGUCGGUGCCGUAGGGAAGCCGUGAAGCGAGCCACCUGGGAAGUACGGCCGCAAGGCUGAAACUUAAAGGAAUUGGCGGGGGAGCACCACAACGGGUGGAGCUUGCGGUUUAAUUGGAUUCAACGCCGGAAAUCUUACCGGGACCGACAGCAAUAUGAACGCCAGGCUGAAGACUUUGCCGGAUUAGCUGAGAGGUGGUGCAU
This 869-nucleotide ribosomal RNA is filed under the name uncultured archaeon. Its description in RNAcentral is "bacterial SSU rRNA". It matches the Rfam family "Archaeal small subunit ribosomal RNA", at positions 125 to 995 of the family's 1478-position model. The record is from RNAcentral.